GCAUGCGCGGUGAUUCAAACGCGAUGGCGGCUGGGGCGGCUCGGGGCUGAGGGGAGUGAUCGCCGCCCGGCCCCUCGCCCCCCGCCGCUGCUUCGGCACCAUGUCCUCCGUGGGCGGCGAUAUCGCAGAGGGCGGACAAACGCCUAAAGCUAAGCGGAAAGGAGGAAGAGUCGUGCAGUCUCGCUACCUUCACUUCGAUAAGAAAGACAGACAGAAAGUGCCGAGACUGCCGAGUUCAGGCGUCGCUCCGCGAAAGGCAGAAAAGGAUGCUUUGUCAAAUUCUUCUUCAUCAAAUACUUCUCUGCCACCUACUAGAACUAAAGCAAGAUCAGAUCUCUCUCAGAAACACAAAACUAAUGCUGGUGUUGACCACAGCUCAUUAAAUCAGAGUGGUUUUGAGAAGGGUGACUUGCAGUCCACUUUAUUAGAUGAAGAAAAAAUGAAGCUACCAGACCUUGAUAUUUCUGCUAUUAAUGAUAAAAGUGACCCCAAGAAGAGUUCUUGUUCAGAAUCUGCUUCAGAAGGAGAUUCAGAGAUAAAGAAAAGCAGAGUGACUGAUGAGGAAACUGCUUCUCGUGAUCUGAUGGCAGAGCUGGAAUCUGAGACACUACUUUUAACUUUCCUAAGAAUCAAGGCAGAAAAAAGGGUUGCCAAGAUGGAGGAAAAAGCUGAAAAAAAUUUAUUAAUGUUGUGUGAAGAAAAGCAGAGACAACAGGAGAAGCUCUGGGAGCUGAAACGUGAAAUUCUGCUUGAGGAGAGAGAGGAGAAGCUCAAUGAAACAUUAGACAAACAGAUAGAAGUGCUGUCUCCCCUCGUUGCUGUCUGUGAACAGUUUAAAGAGCAAUACAAAAGCUUUGCAGCUUCCCUGGAUGCUACAAGACAUGAAUUACCCAUAAAGAACAUUCACAUAGAAGGAGAUAAGCAAACCUACCUUGAUGAACUGAGAAAGCAGUUAAUGAUCACACAGGAGCUUCUGACAGACGUUAUGCCAAACCACUCAGGGGAUAGUGCAAAAGCACUGAAUGCACUGAAAGAACUUAAAGUAGUGUCUCGGGAGCUGAGUGAAGGGCUUCAAAGGAGCUUCACAGAUGUGCAGAACCUGUCGUUUGAAGCCAGUAAAGAAGUUUCUCUGCAUAACCAAUAUGUGUGUGAAGAGAAUCAUGGAGUAGAUGUUGUGAAACGCUGGUAUUUCAGCUGAGUUUCUGUAUUGUUUUACUACUGGUGGAGGCUCCGGGGUCAAGGUGAGGCAAGAUGCAUCCUGCCCGGGGUGCUCUGGGGUGGAGCUGCAGCUCUGGAAAUCAUCGAGGCUAAUGAGAACUUAUUGGAUUACUGCAGUCUUCCCUGCCUCGGAGUAAAUACCACUUUGUUGGAGAUCCGGAAAUUCAUACUGAAUAUGAUAAACAAACUGCUGGUUGGGCUGGGAUUGCCAGGACAUGAAAAGAGUUCCAGAGCAGCAGAAGAUCUAACAGCUCUGAAAUGCACCACUGAGCCACACCAAUUAAGAGCAUUUCCAGUGAUUAUGUGAGCAUUCCUGUUCAACUCACAGAAAUUAUUUUAGGUUGUUUCUUCCGCUGCAUUUGUGUGUGGUCUGCACAGCAAACACGAGGUUUGCAGAGUGGGCUCAAAUGCUUCUGAUCAGUUUCUUUUAAAAUAUUUCUAUGAUAAUGUAUAUGCAAAAACUGAGUUUCCUGCUAAUUCCAGAUCUUUAAUUUUCUAUGUUAUGGUUGCCCUUUCAGAUAUAACUAAUUUUUUAGUUUAUAUAGACAAUGUAUUUUUAGAGAUGGCCUGUAGGAUAUAAAAACUUAAUCCUUUGUUUAAUAUCUCUUACAUAUGGGAGGUGGCUCUACUGUUCAGUCAGACUAUGCACAAGUUGUAUUUCACCAGACAUGUAGGAGCUGAGAAGAGAAUUGGGAAAUUAUUUCUGACUGAACAUCUGAAUGUCAGCCCCUUCUGAUAAGCACAGUGCUCUUCCUUCUAAAUCAUUCUAAAUCCUCCAUUUGAAUGCUUUCCUACUACUAUUUCAGUCACUUUGUCAGGAAUUAAAAUGUUAUAUUACUGUGAAAGAUCAGACUCUCCUGUUCUAUAGAUGAAUAAUAACCAUUUUUGACAGAAUUAUUUAAUAAUUAUAUUCUCAAUAUCAUUAUCCUGUUACAUGCUACUUAGAUUACAGUCUUAGUUGAAAAGUGCUCUUUAAUUAUCCUUUCCUUAUAAUUUCUUCUAGAGAUGUUUGUAUUCCUGGGGAGCAGGAUCAGUCUGGCUUCUGCCACUGUCUGGACUGGUGUAGUUUCUGUUAAACCAUUUUCCUCAGUGCUGGUGAGGUGCAGGUGUGAGGCAAAGCCUGGCACACUUAUUUUGCAGUUAUCAGUUUCUGCUUUUGCUAUCUCUAUUUGGCUGUCACAGAAACAUGAAGAGAGAACAAAACUCAGAGUUAAAGAAUAGGUGUGGCAUUUUUACCAUGAAUAUAAUGCUGUAAAAAUUAACUAAGGCCUUGUUCUUGUCUGGUGGUGUGUAAUGACUGAAAUUAAUGUUUUUCCAUUGGGAAAGGGGGAGAAAUUAUUCUGGAAAUUGAUGACUUUUAUUCACCCACCUACUGAAAUCUAGUGUGUACAGGACUUAACAGAAAACUCAGUGAUUAAUAGCCUUGGGUUUAGUACAGUAUCUUUUAUGUGGACAGUUUAUACAUAUUAAAAUCUUUUAAAAAGCGA
Parus major (Great Tit) is the source of this 2705-nucleotide RNA transcript. It is a transcript of the gene named HAUS augmin like complex subunit 8, with no coding region annotated. The record is from RefSeq and is a predicted model, not a curated record. The transcript is spliced from 12 exons. Lineage: Eukaryota; Metazoa; Chordata; Aves; Passeriformes; Paridae.